ACACUUCUGUCGAGUCCCACACAGGACGAAACAGCUGUCCAGUGC
This 45-nucleotide non-coding RNA is filed under the name Echinostoma caproni. The record is from RNAcentral. Lineage: Eukaryota; Metazoa; Platyhelminthes; Trematoda; Plagiorchiida; Echinostomatidae.